This 477-nucleotide ribosomal RNA is filed under the name uncultured bacterium. RNAcentral's name for it is "bacterial SSU rRNA". It matches the Rfam family "Bacterial small subunit ribosomal RNA", at positions 29 to 507 of the family's 1533-position model. The record is from RNAcentral.
AGCGAACGUUUGCGGCGGGCCUAACACAUGCAAGUCGAACGCACUAGCAAUAGUGAGUGGCGCACGGGUGCGUAACACGUGGGUAAUCAACCCUUCAGCCUGGAAUAACGACUCGAAAGGGUCGCUAAUACCGGAUACGGCGCGAGAGGCUUCGGCUUCUCACGAGAAAGCCACGCAAGGGGCACUGAAGGACGAGCCUGCGGCCCAUCAGCUAGUUGGUGAGGUAAGAGCUCACCAAGGCUAAGACGGGUAGCUGGUCUGAGAGGAUGAUCAGCCACACUGGAACUGAGACACGGUCCAGACUCCUACGGGAGGCAGCAGUGGGGAAUAUUGCGCAAUGGGCGAAAGCCUGACGCAGCCACGCCGCGUGAGCGAUGAAGGCCUUCGGGUCGUAAAGCUCUGUGGGGAGAGACGAAGAAAGCCUGUGAAGAGCAGGCCUUGACGGUAUCUCCUUAGCAAGCACCGGCUAACUCCGUG